UACGUAGGGUGCAAGCGUUAAUCGGAAUUACUGGGCGUAAAGCGUGCGCAGGCGGUUAUGUAAGACAGGUGUGAAAUCCCAGGGCUUAACCUUGGAACUGCAUUUGUGACUGCAUAGCUAGAGUACGGUAGAGGGGGAUGGAAUUCCGCGUGUAGCAGUGAAAUGCGUAGAUAUGCGGAGGAACACCGAUGGCGAAGGCAAUCCCCUGGACCUGUACUGACGCUCAUGCACGAAAGGCGUGGGGAGCAA
This 249-nucleotide ribosomal RNA is filed under the name uncultured bacterium. RNAcentral describes it as "partial 16S ribosomal RNA". It matches the Rfam family "Bacterial small subunit ribosomal RNA", at positions 524 to 771 of the family's 1533-position model. The record is from RNAcentral.